UAAUACGGAGGGUGCAAGCGUUGUCCGGAUUCAUUGGGUUUAAAGGGUGCGUAGGCGGCCCUGUAAGUCAGCGGUGAAAUACCCACGCUCAACGUGGGAACUGCCGUUGAUACUGCGGGGCUUGAGUUCGUGCGAGGUCGCUGGAAUGCGUGGUGUAGCGGUGAAAUGCAUAGAUAUCACGCAGAACACCGAUUGCGAAGGCAGGUGACUGGCACGCGACUGACGCUGAGGCACGAAAGUGUGGGGAGCAAACAGGAUUAGAUACCCUGGUAGUCCACACCGUAAACGAUGGAUACUAGGUGUCCGGGUCUUCGGACCUGGGUGCCCAAGGGAAACCGAUAAGUAUCCCACCUGGGGAGUACGUUCGCAAGGAUG
RNAcentral lists this ribosomal RNA (375 nucleotides) under uncultured bacterium. RNAcentral's name for it is "bacterial SSU rRNA". It matches the Rfam family "Bacterial small subunit ribosomal RNA", at positions 521 to 896 of the family's 1533-position model. The record is from RNAcentral.